AAUUAGAUCUCUAUAGUUCUAUAGCAUAGCUAUAUAGGAAUAGAUGUACAAGGAGUCAAGUUAAUCUUAGAGUCCGGAUCUAUCUUUGUUCUAGUAAACUCUUAUUCUUCUUUGUGAUAUUUAUAUUAGUUCUUGUUACUACGAAUAUGACUUUGAUCUAUUUGAUUAUAUCGGAAUUGACUUUAUUCUAUUUGCUUAUGUUCUUAAUUAUAUUGUUAUUAGUCUACUUUAAUUAUAUGCUUAGCGUAGUUAGAUUAGAAUUAUGUUUAUGCAUAGGAUCGUAUAGCGCUUACUCAUUAGGCCGAUGGGUAAGUGGUAGAUAUUGUGUAGGCUAGGUGCCUAGACCGUAUUUAUCUGCGAUUACCCCUUAUAGUCCAGAGCCUGAGGUAGAUCGCAGGAGUGACAGUCCUAUUGAGUCCUUUGUAUUCCUCCUCCUGAUUAUAAGGCUUGUAGAGCAUCAUUAUUAUAGGGAAGUGAUUGCUAUGUUCAUGAUCUUUCUUGCUAAUAUCACUAUGCAUAGAUAUAACCUUUUCUUACGAUGAUGCUAGGUGUACUUGCACUAAUCAAUGUAUGCUUUGACAGUAUAGUUAGAAUACUUAGGAUUUAUUCUUGUAGAUCGUCCUAGUCCAUUCUAGUGCUAUAGACUUAGAGUAAUCUAAUUGAGAUGAUUAUCAUAUUUAUCAUAUGGCUAUGAAUUCUUAUUUGUCAUCUGUCACUUAUUAUUCAUAUUUAUAUAUUUAUCUUAUGUGACACUUACCCUACAUGAGAGAUAGAUAAAGACAUGGUUAAGAUCUUCAUGAUUACAUGCAGUGCUCAUUGCUCAUUAUCCAUUGCAAGUCCCUUCCCAGUGGUAAAAAUAUAAAUAACGAUACCUGGAUUACUCGCGGUUAAAAUGCUACAUCGGUAUUAUCUGUGCGCUUGAGGAUCUUUUAAUUAUUUAUUUAUUCAU
This 949-nucleotide long non-coding RNA is filed under the name Sorghum bicolor (sorghum). Its description in RNAcentral is "long non-coding RNA (SBIC_LNC009586)". The record is from RNAcentral. Lineage: Eukaryota; Viridiplantae; Streptophyta; Magnoliopsida; Poales; Poaceae.